RNAcentral lists this ribosomal RNA (400 nucleotides) under uncultured bacterium. RNAcentral's name for it is "bacterial SSU rRNA". It matches the Rfam family "Bacterial small subunit ribosomal RNA", at positions 355 to 772 of the family's 1533-position model. The record is from RNAcentral.
UGAGGAAUAUUGGACAAUGGGGGAAACCCUGAUCCAGCCAUGCCGCGUGAGUGAAGAAGGCCUUCGGGUUGUAAAGCUCUUUCAAGUGUAAAGAUAAUGACGGUAACACUAGAAGAAGCCCCGGCUAAAUUCGUGCCAGCAGCCGCGGUAAUACGAAUGGGGCAAGCGUUGUUCGGAAUAACUGGGCUUAAAGCGUGCGCAGGCGGUCUUGAAAGUCAGGAGUGAAAGCCUGGGGCUUAACCCCAGAAUUGCUCUUGAAACUCCAAGACUAGAAUCCGGGAGAGGUUAGCAGAAUUCCGAGUGUAGAGGUGAAAUUCGCAGAUAUUCGGAGGAAUACCAGUGGCGAAGGCGGCUAACUGGACCGGUAUUGACGCUCAGGCACGAAAGCGUGGGGAGCAAA